GAUGAACGCUGGCGGCGUGCCUAAUACAUGCAAGUCGAGCGAACGGACGAGAAGCUUGCUUCUCUGAUGUUAGCGGCGGACGGGUGAGUAACACGUGGAUAACCUACCUAUAAGACUGGGAUAACUUCGGGAAACCGGAGCUAAUACCGGAUGAUAUUUUGAACCGCAUGGUUCAAAAGUGAAAGACGGUCUUGCUGUCACUUAUAGAUGGAUCCGCGCUGCAUUAGCUAGUUGGUAAGGUAACGGCUUACCAAGGCAACGAUGCAUAGCCGACCUGAGAGGGUGAUCGGCCACACUGGAACUGAGACACGGUCCAGACUCCUACGGGAGGCAGCAGUAGGGAAUCUUCCGCAAUGGGCGAAAACAUGACGGAGCAACGCCGAGUGAGUGAUGAAGGUCUUCCGAUCGUAAAAAUCUGUUAUUAGGGAAGAACAUAUGUGUAAGUAACUGUGCACAUAUUGACGGUACCUAAUCAGAAAGCAACGGCUAACUACGUG
This 497-nucleotide ribosomal RNA is filed under the name uncultured bacterium. Its description in RNAcentral is "partial 16S ribosomal RNA". It matches the Rfam family "Bacterial small subunit ribosomal RNA", at positions 28 to 507 of the family's 1533-position model. The record is from RNAcentral.